GAUGAACGCUGGCGGCGUGCCUAAUACAUGCAAGUCGAGCGAACAGACGAGGAUCUUGCUCCUCUGACGUUAGCGGCGGACGGGUGAGUAACACGUGUAUAACCUACCUAGAAGACUGGGAUAACUUCGGGAAACCGGAGCUAAUACCGGAUAAGAUAUUGAACCGCAUGGUUCAAUAGUGAAAGACGGAUUUGCUGUCACUUAUAGAUGGAUCCGCGCCGCAUUAGCUAGUUGGUAAGGUAACGGCUUACCAAGGCGACGAUGCGUAGCCGACCUGAGAGGGUGAUCGGCCACACUGGAACUGAGACACGGUCCAGACUCCUACGGGAGGCAGCAGUAGGGAAUCUUCGGCAAUGGGCGAAAGCCUGACGGAGCAACGCCGCGUGAGUGAUGAAGGUCUUCGGAUCGUAAAACUCUGUUAUUAGGGAAGAACAACUGUGUAAGUAACUAUGCCCGUCUUGACGGUACCUAAUCAGAAAGCCACGGCUAACUACGUG
Molecule: ribosomal RNA, 497 nt
Filed under: uncultured bacterium
Lineage: Bacteria
Description: partial 16S ribosomal RNA
Rfam family: Bacterial small subunit ribosomal RNA
Source: RNAcentral